RNAcentral lists this ribosomal RNA (468 nucleotides) under uncultured bacterium. Its description in RNAcentral is "partial 16S ribosomal RNA". It matches the Rfam family "Bacterial small subunit ribosomal RNA", at positions 28 to 507 of the family's 1533-position model. The record is from RNAcentral.
GACGAACGCUGGCGGCGUGCUUAACACAUGCAAGUCGAACGGAAAGGCCCUGCUUUUGGGGGGUGCGCGAGUGGCGAACGGGUGAGUAACACGUGAGUAACCUGCCCUUGACUUUGGGAUAACUUCAGGAAACUGGGGCUAAUACCGGAUAGGAGCUCCUGCUGCAUGGUGGGGGUUGGAAAGUUUCGGCGGUUGGGGAUGGACUCGCGGCUUAUCAGCUUGUUUGUUGGGUAGUGUCUUACCAAGGCUUUGACGGGUAGCCGGCCUGAGAGGGUGACCGGCCCCAUUGGGACUGAGCUGCGGCCCAGCCUCCUCCGGGAGGCAGCAGUGGGGAAUAUUGCACAAUGGGCGGAAGCCUGAUGCAGCCACGCCGCGUGCGGGAUGACGGCCUUCGGGUUGUAAACCGCUUUCGCCUGUGACGAAGCGUGAGUGACGGUAAUGGGUAAAGAAGCACCGGCUAACUACGUG